GACGAACGCUGGCGGCGUGCUUAACACAUGCAAGUCGAACGGAAAGGCCCUGCUUUUGUGGGGUGCUCGAGUGGCGAACGGGUGAGUAACACGUGAGUAACCUGCCCUUGACUUUGGGAUAACUUCAGGAAACUGGGGCUAAUACCGGAUAGGAGCUCCUGCUGCAUGGUGGGGGUUGGAAAGUUUCGGCGGUUGGGGAUGGACUCGCGGCUUAUCAGCUUGUUGGUGGGGUAGUGGCUUACCAAGGCUUUGACGGGUAGCCGGCCUGAGAGGGUGACCGGCAACAUUGGGACGGAGAUACGCCCAAGCCCCCGCGGGGGGGAAGGGGGGGGAAAUUUGGCAAAGGGGGGGGAGGCCUGAUGCAGCACCCCCGGGUGGGGGAGCGCGGCUUUCGGUUGUAACCCCGUUUGCCCCGGGGAGGAGGGGGGGGGGGGGUUAAGGGGAAAAGAGCCCCCGCUAACCCCCGGC
This 468-nucleotide ribosomal RNA is filed under the name uncultured bacterium. Its description in RNAcentral is "partial 16S ribosomal RNA". It matches the Rfam family "Bacterial small subunit ribosomal RNA", at positions 28 to 508 of the family's 1533-position model. The record is from RNAcentral.